RNAcentral lists this ribosomal RNA (830 nucleotides) under Escherichia coli. RNAcentral describes it as "partial 23S ribosomal RNA". It matches the Rfam family "Bacterial large subunit ribosomal RNA", at positions 410 to 1239 of the family's 2925-position model. Lineage: Bacteria; Pseudomonadati; Pseudomonadota; Gammaproteobacteria; Enterobacterales; Enterobacteriaceae. The record is from RNAcentral.
GAGUAGGGCGGGACACGUGGUAUCCUGUCUGAAUAUGGGGGGACCAUCCUCCAAGGCUAAAUACUCCUGACUGACCGAUAGUGAACCAGUACCGUGAGGGAAAGGCGAAAAGAACCCCGGCGAGGGGAGUGAAAAAGAACCUGAAACCGUGUACGUACAAGCAGUGGGAGCACAGAGCAAUCUGUGUGACUGCGUACCUUUUGUAUAAUGGGUCAGCGACUUAUAUUCUGUAGCAAGGUUAACCGAAUAGGGGAGCCGAAGGGAAACCGAGUCUUAACUGGGCGUUAAGUUGCAGGGUAUAGACCCGAAACCCGGUGAUCUAGCCAUGGGCAGGUUGAAGGUUGGGUAACACUAACUGGAGGACCGAACCGACUAAUGUUGAAAAAUUAGCGGAUGACUUGUGGCUGGGGGUGAAAGGCCAAUCAAACCGGGAGAUAGCUGGUUCUCCCCGAAAGCUAUUUAGGUAGCGCCUCGUGAAUUCAUCUCCGGGGGUAGAGCACUGUUUCGGCAAGGGGGUCAUCCCGACUUACCAACCCGAUGCAAACUGCGAAUACCGGAGAAUGUUAUCACGGGAGACACACGGCGGGUGCUAACGUCCGUCGUGAAGAGGGAAACAACCCAGACCGCCAGCUAAGGUCCCAAAGUCAUGGUUAAGUGGGAAACGAUGUGGGAAGGCCCAGACAGCCAGGAUGUUGGCUUAGAAGCAGCCAUCAUUUAAAGAAAGCGUAAUAGCUCACUGGUCGAGUCGGCCUGCGCGGAAGAUGUAACGGGGCUAAACCAUGCACCGAAGCUGCGGCAGCGACACUGUGUGUUGUUGGGUAGGGGAGCGU